Molecule: long non-coding RNA, 235 nt
Filed under: Elaeis guineensis (African oil palm)
Lineage: Eukaryota; Viridiplantae; Streptophyta; Magnoliopsida; Arecales; Arecaceae
Description: long non-coding RNA (EGUI_LNC070254)
Source: RNAcentral
CUGCGUCGGAGAAGCUGGAGUUGAGGGAGCCGCGGUCGCUGUCGGGACCUGCAAAAGAAGUCUAAAUCGGAGUUGGGGUUGCUCCGACAAGAUCCUCCGAUGCUCAAGUCAGUUCUCUGCCUCAACAAGAAUGGAGUGCUCGAACGAAAAUUUUAGCAGAGCUUUUGGGAUGGAAAUUAGAGCUUAGAGAAUAACGUAUCUGGGAUCUCCCCUUUUUAUAGGCGGAGGGGGCAAC